GGCCUAAAUCAGGUAGGAUACCCGCUGACUUAAC
Molecule: ribosomal RNA, 34 nt
Filed under: Robbauera albescens
Lineage: Eukaryota; Fungi; Basidiomycota; Exobasidiomycetes; Robbauerales; Robbaueraceae
Description: partial 28S ribosomal RNA
Source: RNAcentral